This 84-nucleotide transfer RNA is filed under the name Candidatus Omnitrophota bacterium. Its description in RNAcentral is "Candidatus Omnitrophica bacterium tRNA-Leu". It matches the Rfam family "tRNA". From Rfam's summary of the family: Transfer RNA (tRNA) molecules are approximately 80 nucleotides in length. Lineage: Bacteria; Pseudomonadati; Candidatus Omnitrophota. The record is from RNAcentral.
GCCGGGAUGGCGAAAUUGGCAGACGCACGGGACUUAAAAUCCCGGGUCCGAAAGGACGUGCCGGUUCAAGUCCGGCUCCCGGCA